Molecule: transfer RNA, 71 nt
Filed under: Azygia robusta
Lineage: Eukaryota; Metazoa; Platyhelminthes; Trematoda; Azygiida; Azygiidae
Description: tRNA-Lys
Rfam family: tRNA
About the family: Transfer RNA (tRNA) molecules are approximately 80 nucleotides in length. Their secondary structure includes four short double-helical elements and three loops (D, anti-codon, and T loops). Further hydrogen bonds mediate the characteristic L-shaped molecular structure. tRNAs have two regions of fundamental functional importance: the anti-codon, which is responsible for specific mRNA codon recognition, and the 3' end, to which the tRNAs corresponding amino acid is attached (by aminoacyl-tRNA synthetases). tRNAs cope with the degeneracy of the genetic code in two manners: having more than one tRNA (with a specific anti-codon) for a particular amino acid; and 'wobble' base-pairing, i.e. permitting non-standard base-pairing at the 3rd anti-codon position.
Source: RNAcentral
CGGGGGGUAGCUUAGGGGUAGUUAAAGCAUGAAAUUCUUACUUUCAUUAUGUGGGGUUUCCACCCCCCCGG